AACAGCGCGAAACCCUUUACCAGGUCUUGACCUCUUUUGCCCACUCUAGAGAUAGAGUUUUCCUUUCGGGGACAAAGUGACAGGUGGUGCAUGGUUGUCGUCAGCUCGUGUCGUGAGAUGUUGGGUUAAGUCCCGCAACGAGCGCAACCCUUAUUACUAGUUGCCAGCAUUUAGUUGGGCACUCUAGUGAGACUGCCGGUGACAAACCGGAGGAAGGUGGGGACGACGUCAAAUCAUCAUGCCCCUUAUGACCUGGGCUACACACGUGCUACAAUGGAUGGUACAACGAGUUGCGAGACCGCGAGGUUUAGCUAAUCUCUUAAAACCAUUCUCAGUUCGGAUUGUAGGCUGCAACUCGCCUACAUGAAGCCGGAAUCGCUAGUAAUCGCGGAUCAGCAUGCCGCGGUGAAUACGUUCCCGGGCCUUGUACACACCGCCCGUCACACCAUG
RNAcentral lists this ribosomal RNA (450 nucleotides) under Latilactobacillus sakei. Its description in RNAcentral is "bacterial SSU rRNA". It matches the Rfam family "Bacterial small subunit ribosomal RNA", at positions 955 to 1406 of the family's 1533-position model. The record is from RNAcentral. Lineage: Bacteria; Bacillati; Bacillota; Bacilli; Lactobacillales; Lactobacillaceae.